GGCCUAGUGGCUCAGUUGGUUAGAGCGCCGCCCUGUCACGGCGGAGGUCGUCGGUUCGAGUCCGAUCUGGGUCG
Molecule: transfer RNA, 74 nt
Organism: Acetivibrio ethanolgignens
Lineage: Bacteria; Bacillati; Bacillota; Clostridia; Acetivibrionales; Acetivibrionaceae
Rfam family: tRNA
About the family: Transfer RNA (tRNA) molecules are approximately 80 nucleotides in length.
Source: Rfam